This 464-nucleotide ribosomal RNA is filed under the name uncultured bacterium. RNAcentral describes it as "bacterial SSU rRNA". It matches the Rfam family "Bacterial small subunit ribosomal RNA", at positions 29 to 506 of the family's 1533-position model. The record is from RNAcentral.
AUGAACGCUGGCGGCGUGCUUAACACAUGCAAGUCGAACGGUGAAAGAGAGCUUGCUCUCUGGAUCAGUGGCGAACGGGUGAGUAACACGUGAGCAAUCUGCCCCUGACUCUGGGAUAAGCGUUGGAAACGACGUCUAAUACCGGAUACGAGCUGCGAAGGCAUCUUCAGCAGCUGGAAAGAACUUCGGUCAGGGAUGAGCUCGCGGCCUAUCAGCUAGUUGGUGAGGUAAAGGCUCACCAAGGCGUCGACGGGUAGCCGGCCUGAGAGGGUGACCGGCCACACUGGGACUGAGACACGGCCCAGACUCCUACGGGAGGCAGCAGUGGGGAAUAUUGCACAAUGGGCGCAAGCCUGAUGCAGCAACGCCGCGUGAGGGACGACGGCCUUCGGGUUGUAAACCUCUUUUAGCAGGGAAGAAGCGAAAGUGACGGUACCUGCAGAAAAAGCACCGGCUAACUACGU